UGGAUGACAGGAAAGAAAUGCUGCAUACAGAAGAGCUCUAUCAGAAGGAGAGGUGGUGAAUGUUGCUUAUUCACGUGUUCUUUUUCUGGGUACAGCAGGUGUUGGGAAGAGUAGUUUCAAGAAUUCUCUUAUGAAGUUACCAUGGGAUCCUAAGGCUAACAGUACCAUCAUAUCUGAUGUCAGCUGUGUUCGUCCCUUUGCUAAGGGAUUGCUUAGUGAGCAGUGGGAAGCACUUACUCAUGAAGCUGAAAUUGAAGCUAUGGCACACUUGUUCUUUGCUGUCAGGA
Molecule: long non-coding RNA, 287 nt
Filed under: Amphimedon queenslandica
Lineage: Eukaryota; Metazoa; Porifera; Demospongiae; Haplosclerida; Niphatidae
Description: uncharacterized LOC109589066
Source: RNAcentral